GAUGAACGCUGGCGGCGUGCCUAAUACAUGCAAGUCGAGCGAACAGACGACUAGCUUGCUCCUCUCACGUUAGCGGCGGACGAGUGAGUCACACGUAGAUAACCUUCCUAUUAGACAGGGAUAACUGCGAGAAACCCGAGUUACUACCGGAAAAUCUUUCUAACCGCAUGGUGCAAUAGAGACAGACGGUUUUGCUGUCACCUCUAGGCUGAUCCGGGCCGUCUUGGCUUGUUGGUAUGGUAACGGCUUACCAAGGCAACGGUGCGUAGCCGACGUGUGCGCGUGAACGGGCACACUGGAACUGAGACACGGUCCAGACUCCUACGGGAGGCACCAGUAGGGAAUCGUGCGCAAUGGGCGAAAGCCUGACGGAGCAACGCAGCGUGAGUGAAGAAGGUCUGCGGAUCGGAAAACUCUGUUAUUGGGGAAGAACAAAUGUGUAAGUAACUAUGCACGUCUUGACGGUACCUAAUCAAAAAGCAACGGCUAACUACGUG
RNAcentral lists this ribosomal RNA (497 nucleotides) under uncultured bacterium. RNAcentral's name for it is "partial 16S ribosomal RNA". It matches the Rfam family "Bacterial small subunit ribosomal RNA", at positions 28 to 507 of the family's 1533-position model. The record is from RNAcentral.